AACGAACGCUGGCGGCAUGCCUAACACAUGCAAGUCGAACGAGACCUUCGGGUCUAGUGGCGCACGGGUGCGUAACGCGUGGGAACCUGCCCUUAGGUUCGGAAUAACUCCCCGAAAGGGGUGCUAAUACCGGAUAAUGUCUUCGGACCAAAGAUUUAUCGCCUUUGGUUGGGCCCGCGUUGGAUUAGCUAGUUGGUAGGGUAAAAGCCUACCAAGGCGACGAUCCAUAGCUGGUCUGAGAGGAUGAUCAGCCACACUGGGACUGAGACACGGCCCAGACUCCUACGGGAGGCAGCAGUGGGGAAUAUUGGACAAUGGGCGAAAGACUGAUCCAGCAAUGCCGCGUGAGUGAUGAAGGCCUUAGGGUUGUAAAGCUCUUUUACCCGGGAUGAUAAUGACAGUACCGGGAGAAUAAGCUCCGGCUAACUCCGU
This 432-nucleotide ribosomal RNA is filed under the name uncultured bacterium. Its description in RNAcentral is "partial 16S ribosomal RNA". It matches the Rfam family "Bacterial small subunit ribosomal RNA", at positions 29 to 506 of the family's 1533-position model. The record is from RNAcentral.